Molecule: ribosomal RNA, 555 nt
Filed under: uncultured Glomus
Lineage: Eukaryota; Fungi; Glomeromycota; Glomeromycetes; Glomerales; Glomeraceae
Description: SSU rRNA
Rfam family: Eukaryotic small subunit ribosomal RNA
Source: RNAcentral
UUGGAGGGCAAGUCUGGUGCCAGCAGCCGCGGUAAUUCCAGCUCCAAUAGCGUAUAUUAAAGUUGUUGCAGUUAAAAAGCUCGUAGUUGAAUUUCGGGAUCAAUGUUUCGGUCAUGCCGUUGGUAUGUACUGAUAUUAUUGGUUUCUCACCUUCUAAAGAACCGUAAUGCCAUUAAUUUGGUGUCACGGGGAAUUAGGACUGUUACCUUGAAAAAAUUAGAGUGUUUAAAGCAGGCUCACGCUUGAAUACAUUAGCAUGGAAUAAUGAAAUAGGACAUCCGAUUCUAUUUUGUUGGUUUCUAGGAUCGAUGUAAUGAUUAAUAGGGAUAGUUGGGGGCAUUAGUAUUCAAUUGUCAGAGGUGAAAUUCUUGGAUUUAUUGAAGACUAACUACUGCGAAAGCAUUUGCCAAGGAUGUUUUCAUUAAUCAAGAACGAAAGUUAGGGGAUCGAAGACGAUCAGAUACCGUCGUAGUCUUAACCAUAAACUAUGCCGACUAGGGAUCGGAUGAUGUUAAUUUUUUAAUGACUCAUUCGGCACCUUACGGGAAACCAAAG